UCGGGAAUUUUGGGCAAUGGGCGAAAGCCUGACGCAGCAACGCCGCGUGAGUGAUGAAGGCCUUCGGGUCGUAAAGCUCUGUCGGAGGGAACGAAUGCUCCUGAAGUUAACAGCCUCAGGAGGUGACGGUACCCUCAAAGGAAGCACCGGCUAACUCUGUGCCAGCAGCCGCGGUAAUACGUAGGUGGCAAGCGUUGUCCGGAUUUAUUGGGUUUAAAGGGUGCGUAGGUGGCCCUGUAAGUCAGUGGUGAAAUAUCUCAGCUUAACUGAGAGGGUGCCAUUGAUACUGCAGGGCUUGAGUACAGAUGAGGUAGGCGGAAUUGACGGUGUAGCGGUGAAAUGCAUAGAUAUCGUCAAGAACACCGAUAGCGAAGGCAGCUUACCAAGCUGUAACUGACACUGAGGCACGAAAGUGUGGGGAUCAAACAGGAUUAGAUACCCCAGUAGUCCCUGAGCGGGCUGGCAAGGCGCAU
This 473-nucleotide ribosomal RNA is filed under the name uncultured bacterium. RNAcentral describes it as "bacterial SSU rRNA". It matches the Rfam family "Bacterial small subunit ribosomal RNA", at positions 355 to 825 of the family's 1533-position model. The record is from RNAcentral.